RNAcentral lists this non-coding RNA (19 nucleotides) under Arabidopsis thaliana (thale cress). Lineage: Eukaryota; Viridiplantae; Streptophyta; Magnoliopsida; Brassicales; Brassicaceae. The record is from RNAcentral.
UAAAACGACUCUCGGCAAC